GGCCUUAUAGUUUAACGGAUAGAACAAGACACUCCUAACGUCUAGAUCCACGUUCAAUUCGUGGUAAGGCCA
RNAcentral lists this transfer RNA (72 nucleotides) under Candidatus Magasanikbacteria bacterium RIFCSPHIGHO2_01_FULL_41_23. Its description in RNAcentral is "tRNA-Arg". It matches the Rfam family "tRNA". From Rfam's summary of the family: Transfer RNA (tRNA) molecules are approximately 80 nucleotides in length. Their secondary structure includes four short double-helical elements and three loops (D, anti-codon, and T loops). Lineage: Bacteria; Candidatus Magasanikiibacteriota. RNAcentral also lists the same sequence under 2 other names. The record is from RNAcentral.